This 252-nucleotide long non-coding RNA is filed under the name Lathyrus oleraceus (garden pea). RNAcentral's name for it is "Pisum sativum (pea) long non-coding RNA (PSAT_LNC014044)". Lineage: Eukaryota; Viridiplantae; Streptophyta; Magnoliopsida; Fabales; Fabaceae. The record is from RNAcentral.
UGAUUUCUUUUUCUUGUUUCUUUUCAUAUUUUCACCCUUUCAUAAAAACUCACUUUUCCAAGUUUCUAAUCACAUCUUUUUACUUUACUCUCCCCAACUUUAGAUUCCAAAACCAAAUUUAUUCAAUAAUGCUCCCUACUUAGACAUAAGCAAAAGGCAAAAUUUGCAAACAACUCGGUUUGAGGGUUCAAUUGAUAUGAAAGAAAUUAGGAUUCAUUUAUUCCAAAAUUUUCAAUUGAUUUUACAAUGAUC